This 347-nucleotide long non-coding RNA is filed under the name Mytilus galloprovincialis (Mediterranean mussel). The record is from RNAcentral. Lineage: Eukaryota; Metazoa; Mollusca; Bivalvia; Mytilida; Mytilidae.
AUAAAAUUGAGAAUGGAAAUGGGGAAUGUGUCAAAGAGACAACAACCCGACCAAAUAAAAAACAACAGCAGAAGGUCACCAACAGGUCUUCAAUGUAGCGAGAAAUUCCCGCACCCGGAGGCGUCCUUCAGCUGGCCCCUAAACAAAUAUAUAUACUAGUUCAGUGAUAAUGAACGCCAUACUAAUUUCCAAAUUGUACACAAGAAACUAAACUUAAAAUAAUACAAGACUAACAAAGGCCAGAGGCUCCUGACUUGGGACAGGCGCAAAAAUGCGGCGGGGUUAAACAUGUUUGUGAGAUCUCAACCCUCCCCCUAUACCUCUAACCAAUGUAGAAAAGUAAACGC